UUUUGGACAAUGGGCGCAAGCCUGAUCCAGCCAUGCCGCGUGCAGGAUGAAGGCCUUCGGGUUGUAAACUGCUUUUGUACGGAACGAAAAGGUCUUUCCUAAUAAAGAAGGCUGAUGACGGUACCGUAAGAAUAAGCACCGGCUAACUACGUGCCAGCAGCCGCGGUAAUACGUAGGGUGCGAGCGUUAAUCGGAAUUACUGGGCGUAAAGCGUGCGCAGGCGGUCUUGCAAGACAGUGGUGAAAUCCCCGGGCUCAACCUGGGAACUGCCAUUGUGACUGCAAGGCUGGAGUACGGCAGAGGGGGAUGGAAUUCCGCGUGUAGCAGUGAAAUGCGUAGAUAUGCGGAGGAACACCGAUGGCGAAGGCAGUCCACUGGGCCUGUACUGACGCUCAUGCACGAAAGCGUGGGGAGCAAACAGG
Molecule: ribosomal RNA, 422 nt
Filed under: uncultured bacterium
Lineage: Bacteria
Description: bacterial SSU rRNA
Rfam family: Bacterial small subunit ribosomal RNA
Source: RNAcentral